Molecule: ribosomal RNA, 492 nt
Filed under: uncultured bacterium
Lineage: Bacteria
Description: partial 16S ribosomal RNA
Rfam family: Bacterial small subunit ribosomal RNA
Source: RNAcentral
AGUGAACGCUGGCGGUAGGCCUAACACAUGCAAGUCGAACGGCAGCACAGUAAGAGCUUGCUCUUACGGGUGGCGAGUGGCGGACGGGUGGGGAAUACAUCGGAAUCUACUUUUUCGUGGGGGAUAACGUAGGGAAACUUACGCUAAUACCGCAUACGACCUACGGGUGAAAGCAGGGGAUCUUCGGACCUUGCGCGAUUGAAUGAGCCGAUGUCGGAUUAGCUAGUUGGAGGGGUAAAGGCCCACCAAGGCGACGAUCCGUAGCUGGUCUGAGAGGAUGAUCAGCCACACUGGAACUGAGACACGGUCCAGACUCCUACGGGAGGCAGCAGUGGGGAAUAUUGGACAAUGGGCGCAAGCCUGAUCCAGCCAUACCGCGUGUGUGAAGAAGGCCUUCGGGUUGUAAAGCCCUUUUGUUGGGAAGGAAAAGCAGCAGGUUAAUACCCCGCUGUUCUGACGGUACCCAAAGAAUAAGCACCGGCUAACUUCGUG